This 253-nucleotide ribosomal RNA is filed under the name uncultured bacterium. RNAcentral's name for it is "partial 16S ribosomal RNA". It matches the Rfam family "Bacterial small subunit ribosomal RNA", at positions 524 to 776 of the family's 1533-position model. The record is from RNAcentral.
GACAGAGGAGGCUAGCGUUGUUCGGAAUCACUGGGCUUAAAGCGGGUGUAGGCGGCCCGGUAAGUAUCUUGUGAAAUCCCCCGGCUCACCCGGGGAACUGCUGGAUAUACUGCCGGGCUCGAGGCAAGUAGGGGCCACUGGAACUCUAGGUGGAGCGGUGAAAUGCGUAGAUAUCUAGAGGAACGCCUAAGGCGAAAGCAGGUGGCUGGGCUUGUCCUGACGCUGAGAUCCGAAAGCGUGGGGAGCAAACGGG